AGAAGGACUGGAGAAAUGGCUCAGUGGUUA
RNAcentral lists this non-coding RNA (30 nucleotides) under Cricetulus griseus (Chinese hamster). Lineage: Eukaryota; Metazoa; Chordata; Mammalia; Rodentia; Cricetidae. The record is from RNAcentral.